UUUCCGUAGGUGAACCUGCGGAAGGAUCAUUAUUGAAUGAACUUGACUUGGUUGCUGCUGGUCUUUUCGAAGGCAUGUGCACACUUUGUCAUCUUUAUAUCUCCACCUGUGCACCUUUUGUAGACCUGAAACCAAAUUUCCGAGGCAACUCGGUCGUGAGGAAAUGCUUAACAGCUUUCCUUGUUAGGUUCCAGGGCUAUGUUUUCAUAUACACCAUAAGAAUGUAACAGAAUGUCAUUAUUAGGCUUAGUUGCCUUAUAAACUAUAUACAACUUUCAGCAACGGAUCUCUUGGCUCUC
RNAcentral lists this unclassified non-coding RNA (299 nucleotides) under plant metagenome. RNAcentral describes it as "partial contains small subunit ribosomal RNA, internal transcribed spacer 1, and 5.8S ribosomal RNA". The record is from RNAcentral.